UGAGCCACCGCGCCCAGCCAGAACUUGAUCAUUUUAUUGCCCCAUGUGUGGCAGAGGACAGUCCAGGGAACACCAAAAGGAUUAUUACAGCAUGAAUUAUUCUAGAGGUGGACAAGGAGUGACACAGGGUGGAGGAGUCACAUCACACUUCCUUAAAUCAAUGUCUUGUCAUCAAACUCUCAUUGCAUGGGAACUUUUUGUCAGCUAAGAAGCAUUUCUGGUCUUCACUGAGCCAUAAUUUCAUCAUCUUUAAAGUGGAGUUUUCAGGGACUUGGUUAUACUCCAGGAACCAGUGAUGAUAUUGGCUCCUGAUAUCCAGGAAGCUUUGAAGGCCCUGAGACCAGUAACUGGGAUGUUCAGGAAGGAGCUCAGGACUGAGGACAGACCACUGAGAAUAGAAUCCAAAUUGCUCCAAACAGACAUGUUAGAAGCUAGAAGAUUAUGGAAGGGAGACUUCAACAUUCUGAAUGAAAUGAUUCCUGAUGUGGAAUGUCAUAACCAAUGAAAUCAUCAGUCAGGUGUGAGAAUUAAAUAAAGACAACUUCAGAGAUGAAUGUUCUCAAAAUUUUACCUGCCCUAUAUUCUUUUUCA
RNAcentral lists this long non-coding RNA (591 nucleotides) under Homo sapiens (human). RNAcentral describes it as "HSALNT0316970". Lineage: Eukaryota; Metazoa; Chordata; Mammalia; Primates; Hominidae. The record is from RNAcentral.